UACGGAGGGUCCAAGCGUUAUCCGGAUUCAUUGGGUUUAAAGGGUGCGCAGGCGGGCUUGUAAGUCAGUGGUGAAAUCUUGCCGCUUAACGGUAAAAUUGCCAUUGAUACUGCGAGUCUUGAAUAUGGUUGAGGUAGGCGGAAUGUGUCGUGUAGCGGUGAAAUGCAUAGAUAUGACACAGAACGCCAAUUGCGAAGGCAGCUUACUAAGCCAUUAUUGACGCUGAGGCACGAAAGCGUGGGGAGCGAAC
RNAcentral lists this ribosomal RNA (250 nucleotides) under uncultured bacterium. RNAcentral's name for it is "partial 16S ribosomal RNA". It matches the Rfam family "Bacterial small subunit ribosomal RNA", at positions 524 to 773 of the family's 1533-position model. The record is from RNAcentral.